GAUGAACGCUGGCGGCGUGCCUAAUACAUGCAAGUCGAGCGAACAGACGAGGAGCUUGCUCCUCUGACGUUAGCGGCGGACGGGUGAGUAACACGUGGAUAACCUACCUAUAAGACUGGGAUAACUUCGGGAAACCGGAGCUAAUACCGGAUAACAUGUUGAACCGCAUGGUUCAACAGUGAAAGACGGUCUUGCUGUCACUUAUAGAUGGAUCCGCGCCGCAUUAGCUAGUUGGUAAGGUAACGGCUUACCAAGGCAACGAUGCGUAGCCGACCUGAGAGGGUGAUCGGCCACACUGGAACUGAGACACGGUCCAGACUCCUACGGGAGGCAGCAGUAGGGAAUCUUCCGCAAUGGGCGAAAUCCUGACGGAGCAACGCCGCGUGAGUGAAGAAGGUCUUCGGAUCGUAAAACUCUGUUAUUAGGGAAGAACAAAUGUGUAAGUAACUAUGCACGUCUUGACGGUACCUAAUCAGAAAACCACGGCUAACUACGU
Molecule: ribosomal RNA, 496 nt
Filed under: uncultured bacterium
Lineage: Bacteria
Description: partial 16S ribosomal RNA
Rfam family: Bacterial small subunit ribosomal RNA
Source: RNAcentral